CAUGGACAUCCUGCUUCUACAUUAUUGUAGCACUUCUCACUCAUAGCUGCGACUUUGUGUGCUGAGUAUACACUUGCUUUGAUUCUUCUGAACAGGUAAUUAACUCGCACUUCUCUACAGAUUUGAGUCCUCCUCCCACCCGGAUUUUUGGAAGAGGCUUUGGGGUCUUAUGAGAUGACUUAUUUGGCUAGCAUUCAUCAGUGUGGCCACCAGAAAAAUGUUGGGUGGGUCUGAACAUGAAGAAAACAAUAAAAAUUGUCUGUACUGGAGGCAUUGUCCCCACCUCCCCCCAAACUCACCGAAGGCAAAGCAGAGAUCCUGUCUAUUUCUCAUCAGCUUCUUAAUUAUUCCUAGAAAUAAUAAUGGGUCACCAUUGUUGACCUCUCCAAUUCAUCUGCUACUUCUUUUAACUGGCCUCUUUGAUUUGGACCAACCGACUCACUUUCAGCCACAGUAAGGAAUCCUGGGGACGGGAGGAGGGCUAGAAAGCACUAAAUAUAAAUAUCUGCUUGCCUCAACUGCUCCCCAAAUGUUUUCCAUUACUGGAGCUUCGAGCGCAAGCACACGUCCAAGACAGCAAUCACAACAUCAAAUAGGGCCAAGAUGACCCCCCUCGGUCCCCCGACGUCCCAAUCAGUCACCACCUCCCGGAAGGAAAACAAACCGGCCCCAGACACAGCCCUCCACGUGCAGCGGGCGCCCCAAGGCUUCCCGGCAAAGGGGCGACGCGCGUCCCCAGCACUGCGCGCACCGCCGCGCCCUUCCAGGUGGCCUCGCGUACCUGGCGGCGGUGCCCGCGCCUCGGACGAGGCCGGCGGGCUGGGGUGCCGGCGGCGCGCGCGCUCGCCCGGGGGUCGGGACCCUGGCGGCGGCGGCGGCGGCGGCGGGGCCCCCUCCGCAGCUCCCCGGGCUCCCAUCGCCGCCCUCCCGCCCCGGGUGGGGCCGCGGCCGCGGGCUCUCGGCCGCUGCCUGGAAGCCAGAGGGUCAGAUUCAGUUUCACAACAAAGUCUCUCCCCGUCACUGCAACCGGACUGGAGGCCAAAGCGGCCGGGCAGCCCGGGCAGCGGCCGGAGCGCAGCCGCCGCGGGCGAAGCAACUCGCGAAAUUCUCACCUGCAAUCAGAUACAAUGACAUCGAUGGAGGCAAAAGGCACCAUGCGUUUACCUGCACUCUGUGCGAAUGGAAUUGGAUUGCCGAUGAGGCCAGGCGCAGGGGGGUGUGAAACUAUGUACAAAAUUAAAUGUGAGCGAGAAAUGCUGAUCAAAUCCUUUGGAAAGAGGUGUUUACUGUUCAAGAAAUACUGCGAACGUGGCUGCAAGGAUCAAUGGUGAAUGACUCACUUGAUGUGAAAAUCGAGCUAGGAAGCUUGGGAAGAGACAGAGAGAGAGAGGGAGACAGACAGACAGACAGACAGACAGAACGAGAGACCCUGUGGGGUCGCGCGUACUGGGGCUGUGGCAACGUGGGAGGAAUCGCAGAAGCAGAGACCGCCAAACGACGUGAGCCGGGCUCAGAUAGCUAAGCAAAAUUCACCUCGGAAAGGAGGCUUUUCUCUGCCGAUUUCGCCUUCACUCUAGGGAAGUCUAGCUCUUUUCCUAAGCCUCGUCUAUUUCCUCAAGCCUAGGACGCCGGCACAUUUUGAUGCUCUUGGAAAAGCCGCGGAGACUCUGGGUUGCUGGUGCUGUGUGCAGGCGCGUCCGGUCGCUCUGCCUGGUGGCUCUGCAAUUUGAUUUCAGGCCUUUUUCCCCCUUGGCAUUAUUUUUUGACUACUUGGGGGUGGGGGGGAACCAUAUAAGAAAUUCGAGAACAGACUGUGGGAUGCAGAACUGCACACGUGAUCUUGCAAAUGGGAUAGGAGGGUGGGGGAGGUGGGGAAGAGAGAAGUGAAACUAGAAAUUAUGGUACGGCUUUAGAAUUCCAGAAUCUCCCUUAUUCUUUCCCAAUAUAUAUUGUUUCUGAUUCUUCACAGCUGCGCUUACCCAAUAAAAGUGGAAGAGGGAAGAUAAUGGCCUGAAUA
Molecule: long non-coding RNA, 2017 nt
Filed under: Felis catus (domestic cat)
Lineage: Eukaryota; Metazoa; Chordata; Mammalia; Carnivora; Felidae
Description: lncRNA (ENSFCAG00000049076.1)
Source: RNAcentral